UACGGAAGGCAGCAGUGGGGAAUCUUGCGCAAUGGGCGAAAGCCUGACGCAGCCAUGCCGCGUGAAUGAUGAAGGUCUUAGGAUUGUAAAAUUCUUUCACCGGGGACGAUAAUGACGGUACCCGGAGAAGAAGCCCCGGCUAACUUCGUGCCAGCAGCCGCGGUAAUACGAAGGGGCUAGCGUUGCUCGGAAUUACUGGGCGUAAAGGGCGCGUAGGCGGAUCGUUAAGUCAGAGGUGAAAUCCCAGGGCUCAACCCUGGAACUGCCUUUGAUACUGGCGAUCUUGAGUAUGAGAGAGGUAUGUGGAACUCCGAGUGUAGAGGUGAAAUUCGUAGAUAUUCGGAAGAACACCAGUGGCGAAGGCGACAUACUGGCUCAUUACUGACGCUGAGGGCGCGAAAGCGUGGGGAGCAAACAGGAUUAGAUACC
This 429-nucleotide ribosomal RNA is filed under the name uncultured bacterium. RNAcentral's name for it is "bacterial SSU rRNA". It matches the Rfam family "Bacterial small subunit ribosomal RNA", at positions 340 to 786 of the family's 1533-position model. The record is from RNAcentral.